AGCCAUUUCCUUCUUUAAUUUUUAUUUAUUUUUUAUUUUUUAUUUUUUUUGUGUGUAUGUGUGUAUGUAGCUUUCGACUCCUGAAAUGGCUUGUGAAAGUUAAAAAUGCUCUGUAAGCUGAGUGUCUGCAAGCAAAGUACCUUCUGUCUGGUCUUCUCUGAGAAGCACAAAAGCUGAAGACAACGGAGGGAAAUUGAAGAGAGCAAGAGGCCAUGAAAAACUUGAUGUGUUCUGUUCACCCAGAAGAUUUCCUGAAGGAUGCAUAAAUCUGACAUGAGAAUACAUGAAUAACAGUUUGAUGUGCUUACCAAAUGUAUCAGGAGAAGUUUGGACCAGAAGGGCUUUCAAGAAGCACACUGAAACAAG
This 366-nucleotide long non-coding RNA is filed under the name Cyanistes caeruleus (blue tit). Its description in RNAcentral is "lncRNA (ENSCCEG00000011673.1)". Lineage: Eukaryota; Metazoa; Chordata; Aves; Passeriformes; Paridae. The record is from RNAcentral.